GACGCUUAUGCGUUGUUGGGUAGGGGAGCGUUCUGUAAGCCUGUGAAGGUGUACUGUGAGGUAUGCUGGAGGUAUCAGAAGUGCGAAUGCUGACAUAAGUAACGAUAAAGCGGGUGAAAAGCCCGCUCGCCGGAAGACCAAGGGUUCCUGUCCAACGUUAAUCGGGGCAGGGUGAGUCGACCCCUAAGGCGAGGCCGAAAGGCGUAGUCGAUGGGAAACAGGUUAAUAUUCCUGUACUUGGUGUUACUGCGAAGGGGGGACGGAGAAGGCUAUGUUGGCCGGGCGACGGUUGUCCCGGUUUAAGCGUGUAGGCUGGUUUUCCAGGCAAAUCCGGAAAAUCAAGGCUGAGGCGUGAUGACGAGGCACUACGGUGCUGAAGCAACAAAUGCCCUGCUUCCAGGAAAAGCCUCUAAGCAUCAGGUAACAUCAAAUCGUACCCCAAACCGACACAGGUGGUCAGGUAGAGAAUACCAAGGCGCUUGAGAGAACUCGGGUGAAGGAACUAGGCAAAAUGGUGCCGUAACUUCGGGAGAAGGCACGCUGAUAUGUAGGUGAAGUCCCUUGCGGAUGGAGCUGAAAUCAGUCGAAGAUACCAGCUGGCUGCAACUGUUUAUUAAAAACACAGCACUGUGCAAACACGAAA
This 643-nucleotide ribosomal RNA is filed under the name Escherichia coli. RNAcentral describes it as "partial 23S ribosomal RNA". It matches the Rfam family "Bacterial large subunit ribosomal RNA", at positions 1210 to 1836 of the family's 2925-position model. The record is from RNAcentral. Lineage: Bacteria; Pseudomonadati; Pseudomonadota; Gammaproteobacteria; Enterobacterales; Enterobacteriaceae.